AGCUCCAAUAGCGUAUAUUAAAGUUGUUGCGGUUAAAAAGCUCGUAGUUGGAUUUCUGUUGAGGGCGACCGGUACGCAUUUCGUGCGUUAUCUGGUUCGGUCUUGGCAUCCUCUUGGGGAACGAUUCCAUGCUUAAUUGCACGGAUCGGGAUUCAAGACUUUUACUUUGAGGAAAUUAGAGUGUUCACGGCAAGCAAGUGCUUUGAAUACAUUAGCAUGGAAUAAUAAUAUAGGACCUUUGUUCUAUUUUGUUGGUUUCUAGAACUAAGGUAAUGAUUAAUAGGGACAAUUGGGGGCAUUCGUAUUAACGCGUCAGAGGUGGAAUUCUUGGAUUGCGUUACGACGAACUACUGCGAAAGCAUUUGCCAAGGAUGUUUUCA
This 380-nucleotide ribosomal RNA is filed under the name uncultured eukaryote. RNAcentral's name for it is "SSU rRNA". It matches the Rfam family "Eukaryotic small subunit ribosomal RNA", at positions 587 to 972 of the family's 1831-position model. The record is from RNAcentral.